Mycena vulgaris is the source of this 90-nucleotide non-coding RNA. NCBI's taxonomy places the organism in Eukaryota, Fungi, Basidiomycota, Agaricomycetes, Agaricales, Mycenaceae. The record is from the annotation of a GenBank genome assembly.
GGCCUGGUGUAGGGGUAACACAUCUAUUCUGUAUUCAAGGGAUGUUUGAUAUCUGAGCAGGAGCCCCUUGUUCGAUUCAAGGCAAGGCCA